RNAcentral lists this ribosomal RNA (392 nucleotides) under uncultured bacterium. Its description in RNAcentral is "bacterial SSU rRNA". It matches the Rfam family "Bacterial small subunit ribosomal RNA", at positions 30 to 418 of the family's 1533-position model. The record is from RNAcentral.
AUUGAACGCUGGCGGAAUGCUUUACACAUGCAAGUCGAACGGCAGCACGGGAGCUUGCUCCUGGUGGCGAGUGGCGAACGGGUGAGUAAUACGUCGGAACGUAUCCAUGUAAUGGGGGAUAACGCAGCGAAAGCUGUGCUAAUACCGCAUACGCCCUACGGGGGAAAGCAGGGGAUCUUCGGACCUUGCGUUAUUGGAGCGGCCGACGUCUGAUUAGCUAGUUGGUGGGGUAAAGGCCUACCAAGGCGACGAUCAGUAGCUGGUCUGAGAGGAUGAUCAGCCACACUGGAACUGAGACACGGUCCAGACUCCUACGGGAGGCAGCAGUGGGGAAUUUUUGGACAAUGGGCGCAAGCCUGAUCCAGCCAUUCCGCGUGAGUGAAGAAGGCCUU